This 641-nucleotide ribosomal RNA is filed under the name Cataptygma pectorale. Its description in RNAcentral is "eukaryotic LSU rRNA". It matches the Rfam family "Eukaryotic large subunit ribosomal RNA", at positions 552 to 827 of the family's 3401-position model. Lineage: Eukaryota; Metazoa; Arthropoda; Insecta; Hymenoptera; Ichneumonidae. The record is from RNAcentral.
GAUCGAAUCGGGAGAUUCAUCGUCAGCGAUUCUGGCACGUGAGGGUUUCGUGAUGCCGGAGACCUCGCGUCUCAUGGCACACGUCCUUAUUGCCUCGUAUCGCCGGCGUGCACUUCUCCCAUAGUAGGACGUCGCGACCCGUUGGGUGUCGGUCUACGGCCCGGGUGGGCGCCUGUCUUGUGUUACGCUUCACCGCGUCAUGUGGCAGACCCCCGGUUGUCUGACCAGCUGCUCGGCGGUACUCGCACGGUAUCGAGUCGCAAAUAUUCGAACUGCGUCCGGCCCGCCGCAAGCGAGGCCAGUGUUUCCCGGAUGUACGGACCUAGCGCCGUCACCGGGCCUGGCCAGCUGUUGGUUGGCGGUGUCCUUGGACUGGCUCAUAAAUUAUGAUACCGGUCGGCGACGCUACUGCUUUGGGUACUUUCAGGACCCGUCUUGAAACACGGACCAAGGAGUCUAACAUGUGCGCGAGUCAUUGGGAACUCUUAAGCCUAAAGGCGCAAUGAAAGUGAAGGUCGGCCUCGCGCCGACCGAGGGAGGAUGGGCCGCGUCACGAUGCGGUCCCGCACUCCCGGGGCGUCUCGUUCUCAUUGCGAGAAGAGGCGCACCCAGAGCGUACACGUUGGGACCCGAAAGAUGGU